ACGAUGUUCCGCUGUCUAUUUUGAUACACAAGAACAUCUG
Molecule: non-coding RNA, 40 nt
Organism: Bacillus sp. TS-2
Lineage: Bacteria; Bacillati; Bacillota; Bacilli; Caryophanales; Bacillaceae
Source: Rfam